This 376-nucleotide ribosomal RNA is filed under the name Lynceus brevifrons. RNAcentral's name for it is "partial 16S large subunit ribosomal RNA". It matches the Rfam family "Bacterial large subunit ribosomal RNA", at positions 1928 to 2533 of the family's 2925-position model. The record is from RNAcentral. Lineage: Eukaryota; Metazoa; Arthropoda; Branchiopoda; Diplostraca; Lynceidae.
CGGCCGCGGUAAUCUGACCGUGCUAAGGUAGCAUAAUCAUUUGUCUUUUAAUUGAAGACUGGAAUGAAAGGUAAAACGAGAAAUAAGCUGUCUUUGUAAAAUAAAUUGAAUUUUAUUUUUUAGUGAAAAAGCUAAAAUAUUUUUGUGGGACGAUAAGACCCUAUAGAUCUUAAUUAUAUUUAGUAUUUGUUUAUUAAAAAAUAAUUUUAUUGGGGCGAUAGUAAGAAAAGAGAAUCUCUUAUUUAUAUAAAAUAUGGAUAAAUAGAUUAUGUUUUAGAUCCUAAAUGAUGGAUUAAAAGAAAAAGUUACCUUAGGGAUAACAGCGUAAUGUUUUUUAAGAGUUCUUAUCGAAAAAAAUGUUUGCGACCUCGAUGUU